Molecule: transfer RNA, 85 nt
Filed under: Felis catus (domestic cat)
Lineage: Eukaryota; Metazoa; Chordata; Mammalia; Carnivora; Felidae
Rfam family: tRNA
About the family: Transfer RNA (tRNA) molecules are approximately 80 nucleotides in length. Their secondary structure includes four short double-helical elements and three loops (D, anti-codon, and T loops).
Source: Rfam by way of RNAcentral
GCCUGGGUGGCUCAGUGGGUUAAGUGUCUGACUUUGGCUCAGGUCAUGAUCUCAUGGUCCAUGGGUUUGAACCCUACCUCGGGCU